Molecule: long non-coding RNA, 1735 nt
Organism: Equus caballus (horse)
Lineage: Eukaryota; Metazoa; Chordata; Mammalia; Perissodactyla; Equidae
Source: Ensembl
GGGAGGGCCCUCUCCCCGGAGCCCCCCCUCCUUCUCUUCUCCUUAUCUCUCUCCGGGCUGUUUCCUGCCCCAGGGGACAGAGAGCGGGAGGCAGGCCCUGUGCAUGACUGUGAUAGGGAGCGAGGUUCCUGGAGGCUCCAGGGCCGGGCGCCUGCUGGGGAGGCCCCACGGCCACUCUCUCUGCUGGCAUGGGGCACCGAGGCUGGGGUGUCCAGAUGUGCGGGCCCUGCCUGCACGCGGGGCUGGGGUGGUGGGGCCGGUCCAUGUCGCAGCACGCGAUUUCUGCCUGGCUCUGCGUCCUCGGGCUGUGGAGGGAGCAUCCCGGUGUCGGUGUCCCCCUGAGAGGUGCCCUUCUCGUAUUUGGGUCCCCGGUGCCAGCCCAGUUCUCAUCGACAGGAGAGAAGGCCGUGCGCAGACUCGGUGGAUGUUAGACAGCCUCGGAAGAGCCAAGAGUCCUCACCGUUCUGGACAGUGUCGCUGUUGGGGUGUGGCGUCCUGGCUCAGAGCUCCGCAUUCCUGUCCACCUGCGGCUGUCACCUUCACGAUGGUUCUGUGGGGCUGCGAGCUCCUGACCAUCUCAUCGCGUCUCCCAGAGCGGCUAGGCUGGAGCACUGAUGUGUCCAACAAGGUUUCAUUUCACACGAGGUUCUUCAUGCUUCUUUAUAUUACAGCUGGGGUGUGACAUACGGGGAUUUUAAAAAGUUAUGUGAGUAUAUAGGUUACAGCAUCCAUGGGCUACCUUUCAGAGUAUUAAGAAGGAUAUGACGUAUUUUUAACAUAAAAGGAAGGGGUCGGGGUGAGAGUGCUGGGACCUGGGGUUUCGAGCUCCAACGAAGUUGUAAAAAUUCGGACGUCGAUGUCAGGGGCUCAGGACACAUUUGACAGGUGAACGAAUGAAUGCCUGGGGACAUAUUGUUGAAGGGGCUCUUUGAUGCCUUCAUGUACCACCCACAGGUGACCUCUUGUCUGGGCCCGCGUGAGGUAUUCUGCCCCCAGUUCCAGAACCUUCUAAGUUCCAGAACCAGCUAAGCACGAGACCGCCUUGGUCCUGGUAGCCAGCUCCUGGCUGGGUCAGAAGCUGCUCAGGAGAACUUUGUCCCUCCCCACGGGGUCCCUGAGCAGAUCUGAAGGCCCAGCCCGAGCUGGACCAGGCCCGCGGUCCUGCCAUCAGGGACCCUGCAGCUUCCGGGAUGCGAGCGGGACUCCCGGCCAGUCGGAGGUGGGGGCCGGGCGGGGGGGCGGGUGGAGUGUGUUUCUGGGUGCCUGGCUCCUUCCUGCUGGGAAUAAAAAUCAUCACAUUUGCUUCAGACUUAUUUCCUUCCUCACACACUUUCUCUUUAUAGGGAGAAAUACUUGUCAAAAGAUCUCCAAACUGGGCGGGAGCAUGGACGCUUCUGCCCCUCUGUUCCUUCCUGCCCAGGGCGGGUAGCAUGGUCGACAGUCCAGCACGGCCCCUCCACAUCGGUGCUGGACACCCAGUCCACUCACUGAGCGUCUUCUUCUUUCCUUUGCUAACCCCACAUCACUCUAUUACUCUGUAAUUUGUUUUUAUGCUAAAUAACGUGUUUGGGACAAUUUUCCCGGGCUGCGCAUACACACCAGCUGCUGGUCAUUCUGGAGAUACCCCUCCAUCUAUUUGUCUUUAAGUUUUUCUGUUAAACUGUUUUUUCCCAUGGAAAGAAUACAUGCAUGUGGUUAAAAAAUAAUAAAAAGCAAAUGUCUCUAUUUUCCCAAA